RNAcentral lists this unclassified non-coding RNA (168 nucleotides) under uncultured fungus. Its description in RNAcentral is "sequence contains ITS1, 5.8S rRNA gene". The record is from RNAcentral. Lineage: Eukaryota; Fungi.
CAGAGUGUAACAGCUCCCAAACCAUCGCGAACCCACCGUACCGUACGUUGCUUCGGCGGGCGGCCCCCCCCUGGGGGCCCCCCUUUCGGGCCCGCGAGGGCGCCCGCCGGAGUGCCGAAUAACCACGAGCUUCGAAGAUAACCCUCUGAGUCAGCCACAAACAAGUUA